GAUGAACGCUGGCGGCGUGCUUAACACAUGCAAGUCGAACGAAGCACUCUAUUUGAUUUUCUUCGGAAAUGAAGAUUUUGUGACUGAGUGGCGGACGGGUGAGUAACGCGUGGGUAACCUGCCUCGUACAGGGGGAUAACAGUUGGAAACGACUGCUAAUACCGCAUAAGCGCACAGGAUUGCAUGAUCCGGUGUGAAAAACUCCGGUGGUAUGAGAUGGACCCGCGUCUGAUUAGCCAGUUGGCAGGGUAACGGCCUACCAAAGCGACGAUCAGUAGCCGACCUGAGAGGGUGACUGGCCACAUUGGGACUGAGACACGGCCCAAACUCCUACGGGAGGCAGCAGUGGGGAAUAUUGCACAAUGGGGGAAACCCUGAUGCAGCGACGCCGCGUGAGCGAAGAAGUAUUUCGGUAUGUAAAGCUCUAUCAGCAGGGAAGAAGAAUGACGGUA
Molecule: ribosomal RNA, 452 nt
Filed under: uncultured bacterium
Lineage: Bacteria
Description: bacterial SSU rRNA
Rfam family: Bacterial small subunit ribosomal RNA
Source: RNAcentral